GAGAGUAGGUGCGGUGGUUGCAGCACAACUCAAGGAUUAACUAAUUCUUGGGCUCUGCUGAGGAAAGUCCGGGCUUCCCCAAAGGCUAGACUGCUGGGCAACUCCCAGGGCGAGCGAUCGUGCGGAAAGUGCCACAGAAAUAUACCGCCAUCUUGGCAAUUCAUAAUUCAUGAGCGCAAGCCACUGAGAAUUAGGUUAAAUAGCCUGAUGAAAUCACGGUUUAGCUGCCAUGAUAUUGCAUUUUUAGCUUAAUCAAGAAUGCUGAGAUGGUAAGGGUGCAAAGGUGCGGUAAGAGCGCACCAGCAGGAUCGGGAGAUCCUGGCUCGGUAAACCCCAGUCGGAAGCAAGGCGAGUUGGAAAAAGAAGCUGCUGCCUUUAUGAUUCUUUUGCCAAUUAUCUGCGAUCGGGCAACUGGUUGUAGAUCUGAGCCGCUAGAGGUAUCUGGCAACAGGUAUCCCAGAUAGAUAACCGCCAGUAAAGCUUAGUUAAUCAGUUUUGCUAACAGAACCCGGCUUACGGCUUACUCUUCUAC
This is a non-coding RNA of Pseudanabaena sp., 532 nucleotides long. It matches the Rfam family "Bacterial RNase P class A". From Rfam's summary of the family: Ribonuclease P (RNase P) is a ubiquitous endoribonuclease, found in archaea, bacteria and eukarya as well as chloroplasts and mitochondria. Its best characterised activity is the generation of mature 5'-ends of tRNAs by cleaving the 5'-leader elements of precursor-tRNAs. Lineage: Bacteria; Bacillati; Cyanobacteriota; Cyanophyceae; Pseudanabaenales; Pseudanabaenaceae. The record is from Rfam.